This 499-nucleotide ribosomal RNA is filed under the name uncultured Glomeromycotina. Its description in RNAcentral is "partial small subunit ribosomal RNA". It matches the Rfam family "Eukaryotic small subunit ribosomal RNA", at positions 591 to 1092 of the family's 1831-position model. The record is from RNAcentral. Lineage: Eukaryota; Fungi; Glomeromycota.
CCAAUAGCGUAUAUUAAAGUUGUUGCAGUUAAAAAGCUCGUAGUUGAAUUUCGGGAUCAGAUUGUCGGUCGUGCCUCGGUACGCACUGGCAUUAUUGGUUCCUACCUUCUGAAGAACCGCGAUGUCAUUAAUUUGGUGUCGUGGGGAAUCAGGACUGUUACUUUGAAAAAAUUAGAGUGUUUAAAGCAGGCGCACGCUUGAAUACAUUAGCAUGGAAUAAUGAAAUAGGACGUUUGAUUCUAUUUUGUUGGUUUCUAGGAUCGACGUAAUGAUUAAUAGGGAUAGUUGUGGGCAUUAGUAUUCAAUUGACAGAGGUGAAAUUCUUGGAUUUAUUGAAGACUAACUACUGCGAAAGCAUUUGCCAAGGAUGUUUUCAUUAAUCAAGAACGAAAGUUAGGGGAUCGAAGACGAUCAGAUACAGUCGUAGUCUUAACCAUAAACUAUGCCGACUAAGGAUCGGAUGAUGUUAAUUUUAUAAUGACUCAUUCGGCGCCUUACG